RNAcentral lists this ribosomal RNA (1373 nucleotides) under uncultured bacterium. RNAcentral's name for it is "bacterial SSU rRNA". It matches the Rfam family "Bacterial small subunit ribosomal RNA", at positions 28 to 1381 of the family's 1533-position model. The record is from RNAcentral.
GAUGAACGCUGGCGGCGUGCCUAAUACAUGCAAGUCGAGCGAACAGAUAAGGAGCUUGCUCCUUUGAAGUUAGCGGCGGACGGGUGAGUAACACGUGGGUAACCUACCUAUAAGACUGGGAUAACUUCGGGAAACCGGAGCUAAUACCGGAUAACAUUUAGAACCGCAUGGUUCUAAAGUGAAAGAUGGUUUUGCUAUCACUUAUAGAUGGACCCGCGCCGUAUUAGCUAGUUGGUAAGGUAACGGCUUACCAAGGCGACGAUACGUAGCCGACCUGAGAGGGUGAUCGGCCACACUGGAACUGAGACACGGUCCAGACUCCUACGGGAGGCAGCAGUAGGGAAUCUUCCGCAAUGGGCGAAAGCCCGACGGAGCAACGCCGCGUGAGUGAUGAAGGGUUUCGGCUCGUAAAACUCUGUUAUUAGGGAAGAACAAAUGUGUAAGUAACUGUGCACAUCUUGACGGUACCUAAUCAGAAAGCCACGGCUAACUACGUGCCAGCAGCCGCGGUAAUACGUAGGUGGCAAGCGUUAUCCGGAAUUAUUGGGCGUAAAGCGCGCGUAGGCGGUUUCUUAAGUCUGAUGUGAAAGCCCACGGCUCAACCGUGGAGGGUCAUUGGAAACUGGGAAACUUGAGUGCAGAAGAGGAAAGUGGAAUUCCAUGUGUAGCGGUGAAAUGCGCAGAGAUAUGGAGGAACACCAGUGGCGAAGGCGACUUUCUGGUCUGUAACUGACGCUGAUGUGCGAAAGCGUGGGGAUCAAACAGGAUUAGAUACCCUGGUAGUCCACGCCGUAAACGAUGAGUGCUAAGUGUUAGGGGGGUUUCCGCCCCUUAGUGCUGCAGCUAACGCAUUAAGCACUCCGCCUGGGGAGUACGACCGCAAGGUUGAAACUCAAAGGAAUUGACGGGGACCCGCACAAGCGGUGGAGCAUGUGGUUUAAUUCGAAGCAACGCGAAGAACCUUACCAAAUCUUGACAUCCUUUGAAAACUCUAGAGAUAGAGCCUUCCCCUUCGGGGGACAAAGUGACAGGUGGUGCAUGGUUGUCGUCAGCUCGUGUCGUGAGAUGUUGGGUUAAGUCCCGCAACGAGCGCAACCCUUAAGCUUAGUUGCCAUCAUUAAGUUGGGCACUCUAGGUUGACUGCCGGUGACAAACCGGAGGAAGGUGGGGAUGACGUCAAAUCAUCAUGCCCCUUGUGAUUUGGGCUACACACGUGCUACAAUGGACAAUACAAAGGGCAGCUAAACCGCGAGGUCAUGCAAAUCCCAUAAAGUUGUUCUCAGUUCGGAUUGUAGUCUGCAACUCGACUACAUGAAGCUGGAAUCGCUAGUAAUCGUAGAUCAGCAUGCUACGGUGAAUACGUUCCCGGGUCU